RNAcentral lists this ribosomal RNA (717 nucleotides) under Phytophthora citricola. RNAcentral describes it as "eukaryotic LSU rRNA". The stretch from base 137 to 291 matches the Rfam family "5.8S ribosomal RNA". Lineage: Eukaryota; Oomycota; Peronosporomycetes; Peronosporales; Peronosporaceae. The record is from RNAcentral.
GGGGUCUUGCUUUUUGCGAGCCCUAUCAUGGCGAAUGUUUGGACUUCGGUCUGGGCUAGUAGCUUUUUGUUUUAAACCCAUUCUACAAUACUGAUUAUACUGUGGGGACGAAAGUCUCUGCUUUUAACUAGAUAGCAACUUUCAGCAGUGGAUGUCUAGGCUCGCACAUCGAUGAAGAACGCUGCGAACUGCGAUACGUAAUGCGAAUUGCAGGAUUCAGUGAGUCAUCGAAAUUUUGAACGCAUAUUGCACUUCCGGGUUAGUCCUGGGAGUAUGCCUGUAUCAGUGUCCGUACAUCAAACUUGGCUUUCUUCCUUCCGUGUAGUCGGUGGAGGAUGUGCCAGAUGUGAAGUGUCUUGCGGGUGUCCUUCGGGUCGUCUGCGAGUCCUUUGAAAUGUACUGAACUGUACUUCUCUUUGCUCGAAAAGCGUGGUGUUGCUGGUUGUGGAGGCUGCCUGCGUGGCCAGUCGGCGACCGGUUUGUCUGCUGCGGCGUUUAAUGGAGGAGUGUUCGAUUCGCGGUAUGGUUGGCUUCGGCUGAACAGGCGCUUAUUGUAUGCUUUUCCUGCUGUGGCGUGAUGGGCUGGUGAACCGUAGCUGUGUGUGGCUUGGCUUUUGAAUCGGCUUUGCUGUUGCGAAGUAGAGUGACGGCUUCGGCUGUCGAGGGUCGAUCCAUUUGGGAACUUUGUGUGCACCUCGGUGCGCAUCUCAAUUGGAC